CUUUUCCAUGAAGUCAGCAUUAUGGUUUUAAACCCUAAACUGAUUUUUUCCUUUAGUCAGCAUUAGGGUUUUAAACCCUAAACUAAACUUUUUUCCAUUCAGCCAGCAUUAGGGUUUUAAACCCUAAACUGAGCUUUUUCAUGCAAUCAGCAUUAGGGUUUUAAACCCUAAACUGAACUUUUUUCCAUUCAGCCAACAUUAGGGUUUUAAACCCUAAACUGAGCUUUUCCAUUCAGCCAGCAUUAGGGUUUAAAACUCUAAACUGAGCUUUUCCAUGCAGUCAGCAUUAGGGUUUUAAACCCUGAACUGAAUUUUUCCUUUAAUCAGCAUUAGGGUUUUAAACCCUAAACUGAACUUUUUCCAUUCAGUCAGCAUUAGGGUUUUAAACCCUAAACUGAUUUUUUCCUUUAGUCAGCAUUAGGGUUUUAAACCCUAAACUGAACUUUUUUCCAUUCAGCCAGCAUUAGGGGUUUUAAACCCUAAACUGAGCUUUUCCAGGUAGUCAGCAUUAGGGUUUUAAACCCUAAACUGAGCUUUUCCAGGUAGUCAGCAUUAGGGUUUUAAACCCUAAACUGAAUUUUUCCUUUAGUCAGCAUUAGGGUUUUAAACCUUAAACUGAACUUUUUUCCAUUCAGCCAGCAUUAGGGUUUUAAACCCUAAACUGAACUUUUUUCCAUGCAGCCAGCAUUAGGGUUUUAAACCCUAAACUGAGCUUUUUCAUGCAAUCAGCAUUAGGGUUUUAAACCCUAAACUGAACGUUUUUCCAUUCAGCCAGAUUUAGGGUUUUAAACCCUAAACUGAGCUUUUCCAUACAGUCAGCAUUAGGGUUUUAAACCCUAAACUGAAUUUUUCCUUUAGUCAGCAUUAGGGUUUUAAACCCUAAACUGAACUUUUUUCCAUUCAGCCAGCAUUAGGGUUUUAAACCCUAAACUGAGCUGUUUCAUGCAAUCAGCAUUAGGGUUUUAAACCCUAAACUGAACUUUUUCCAUUCAGCCAGCAUUAGGGUUUUAAACCCUAAACUGAGCUUCUCCUUUAGUCAGCAUUAGGGUUUUAAACCCUAAACUGAGCUUUUUCAUGCAAUCAACAUUAGGGUUUUAAACCCUAAACUGAACUUUUUCCAUUCAGCCAGCAUUAGGGUUUUAAACCCUAAACUAAGCAUUUCCAUUCAGCCAGCAUUAGGGUUUUAAACCCUAAACUAA
Molecule: long non-coding RNA, 1199 nt
Filed under: Nicotiana tabacum (common tobacco)
Lineage: Eukaryota; Viridiplantae; Streptophyta; Magnoliopsida; Solanales; Solanaceae
Description: long non-coding RNA (NTAB_LNC003130)
Source: RNAcentral